This 470-nucleotide ribosomal RNA is filed under the name uncultured Rhodoferax sp. Its description in RNAcentral is "bacterial SSU rRNA". It matches the Rfam family "Bacterial small subunit ribosomal RNA", at positions 910 to 1382 of the family's 1533-position model. The record is from RNAcentral. Lineage: Bacteria; Pseudomonadati; Pseudomonadota; Betaproteobacteria; Burkholderiales; Comamonadaceae.
UUGACGGGACCCGCACAAGCGGUGGAUGAUGUGGUUUAAUUCGAUGCAACGCGAAAACCUUACCCACCUUUGACAUGUACGGAAGCCUUUAGAGAUAGAGGCGUGCUCGAAAGAGAGCCGUAACACAGGUGCUGCAUGGCUGUCGUCAGCUCGUGUCGUGAGAUGUUGGGUUAAGUCCCGCAACGAGCGCAACCCUUGUCAUUAGUUGCUACAUUCAGUUGGGCACUCUAAUGAGACUGCCGGUGACAAGCCGGAGGAAGGUGGGGAUGACGUCAAGUCCUCAUGGCCCUUAUAGGUGGGGCUACACACGUCAUACAAUGGCUGGUACAAAGGGUUGCCAACCCGCGAGGGGGAGCCAAUCCCAUAAAGCCAGUCGUAGUCCGGAUCGUAGUCUGCAACUCGACUACGUGAAGUCGGAAUCGCUAGUAAUCGUGGAUCAGAAUGUCACGGUGAAUACGUUCCCGGGUCUU